This 432-nucleotide ribosomal RNA is filed under the name Triticum aestivum (bread wheat). RNAcentral describes it as "partial small subunit ribosomal RNA". The record is from RNAcentral. Lineage: Eukaryota; Viridiplantae; Streptophyta; Magnoliopsida; Poales; Poaceae.
AUGGCAAAUUUAGGGACUAUUUCAUAUACAAACCGUGGCAAAAAUGUGUUAAAAAAGCUCAUAGUAGCAUCUAGCAAAAAAAAUCAUCAGACAUCAGUAAAAAUGGGACCAGUCGGAUCCCUUCGGCUGUGGUGUUGCUCGAGCUCGAUGAGCACCUCCCCGCCGGGCUCCCUUCUUAGAAUGGACGCCGACACGCUGUCGGUGAGGAGCCCAUUGCCCCCUCCACGGACACAUGGCGCUGUCCCAGGGAACUCGUCGCAGGGCACCCGCCUCCGCUUUCCGCCCGGUGCACGCCGGGAAGCCGUCGCUGCCUCCCCCAAGUCACCUGACGAGAGCGAAGAUGGUACGAUGCUUCAUUGCUCCGCCGCCGUUGCUGCUCCUGUACGGCCCAGCCACCGCCGCGGCCGCCCUCUCCGUUUGACCGCACCUUGA